This 410-nucleotide ribosomal RNA is filed under the name Salmonella enterica subsp. enterica serovar Infantis. RNAcentral describes it as "bacterial SSU rRNA". It matches the Rfam family "Bacterial small subunit ribosomal RNA", at positions 1 to 407 of the family's 1533-position model. Lineage: Bacteria; Pseudomonadati; Pseudomonadota; Gammaproteobacteria; Enterobacterales; Enterobacteriaceae. The record is from RNAcentral. RNAcentral also lists the same sequence under 3 other names.
AAAUUGAAGAGUUUGAUCAUGGCUCAGAUUGAACGCUGGCGGCAGGCCUAACACAUGCAAGUCGAACGGUAACAGGAAGCAGCUUGCUGCUUCGCUGACGAGUGGCGGACGGGUGAGUAAUGUCUGGGAAACUGCCUGAUGGAGGGGGAUAACUACUGGAAACGGUGGCUAAUACCGCAUAACGUCGCAAGACCAAAGAGGGGGACCUUCGGGCCUCUUGCCAUCAGAUGUGCCCAGAUGGGAUUAGCUUGUUGGUGAGGUAACGGCUCACCAAGGCGACGAUCCCUAGCUGGUCUGAGAGGAUGACCAGCCACACUGGAACUGAGACACGGUCCAGACUCCUACGGGAGGCAGCAGUGGGGAAUAUUGCACAAUGGGCGCAAGCCUGAUGCAGCCAUGCCGCGUGUAUG